Molecule: transfer RNA, 77 nt
Filed under: Acidobacteriota bacterium
Lineage: Bacteria; Pseudomonadati; Acidobacteriota
Also listed under: 2 other names
Description: Acidobacteria bacterium (rhizosphere metagenome) tRNA-Arg
Rfam family: tRNA
About the family: Transfer RNA (tRNA) molecules are approximately 80 nucleotides in length. Their secondary structure includes four short double-helical elements and three loops (D, anti-codon, and T loops).
Source: RNAcentral
GCGCCCAUAGCUCAGCUGGAUAGAGCGUCAGCCUCCGGAGCUGAAGGUCGUAGGUUCGAAUCCUACUGGGCGCACCA